RNAcentral lists this ribosomal RNA (302 nucleotides) under uncultured bacterium. Its description in RNAcentral is "partial 16S ribosomal RNA". It matches the Rfam family "Bacterial small subunit ribosomal RNA", at positions 508 to 807 of the family's 1533-position model. The record is from RNAcentral.
GCAGUCGCCGCGGUAAUACAGAGGGUGCGAGCGUUAAUCGGAUUUACUGGGCGUAAAGCGUGCGUAGGCGGCUUUUUAAGUCGGAUGUGAAAUCCCUGAGCUUAACUUAGGAAUUGCAUUCGAUACUGGGAAGCUAGAGUAUGGGAGAGGAUGGUAGAAUUCCAGGUGUAGCGGUGAAAUGCGUAGAGAUCUGGAGGAAUACCGAUGGCGAAGGCAGCCAUCUGGCCUAAUACUGACGCUGAGGUACGAAAGCAUGGGGAGCAAACAGGAUUAGAGACCCCAGUAGUCCCUGUCUCUUAUAC